This 242-nucleotide ribosomal RNA is filed under the name uncultured Planctomycetales bacterium. Its description in RNAcentral is "partial 16S ribosomal RNA". It matches the Rfam family "Bacterial small subunit ribosomal RNA", at positions 439 to 672 of the family's 1533-position model. The record is from RNAcentral. Lineage: Bacteria; Pseudomonadati; Planctomycetota; Planctomycetia; Planctomycetales.
GGAGUUAUGAAAUGCAGAUUGGUUAAUACCCAACCUGUUUGACAAAGGCCCCAAAGGAAGCCACGGCUAACUCUGUGCCAGCAGCCGCGGUAAUACAGAGGUGGCAAGCGUUGUUCGGUAUUAUUGGGCGUAAAGAGCACGUAGGUGGUUUUGUAAGUCAGAUGUGAAAGCCUUCUGUUCAAAGGAAGAACGGCAUCUGAAACUGCAGAUCUUGAGUGUAGGAGGGGAGAGUGGAACUUCUG